This 660-nucleotide ribosomal RNA is filed under the name uncultured bacterium. RNAcentral describes it as "bacterial SSU rRNA". It matches the Rfam family "Bacterial small subunit ribosomal RNA", at positions 125 to 818 of the family's 1533-position model. The record is from RNAcentral.
CUUACCCAUUUCCGGGGGAUAACAGUUGGAAACAGCUGCUAAUACCGCAUAAGCCUAAGGGUUAAAGAAGUAAUUCGGGAAUGGAGAGACUCGCGUCCUAUCAGCUAGUAGGUGAGAUAAGAGCUCACCUAGGCUAAGACGGGUAACCGGACUGAGAGGUCGAACGGUCACACUGGAACUGAGACACGGUCCAGACUCCUACGGGAGGCAGCAGUGGGGAAUUUUGGGCAAUGGGGGGAACCCUGACCCAGCGACGCCGCGUGAGUGAAGAAAUUCCUCGGAAUGUAAAGCUCUGUUGUAUGGGAAGAUAAUGACGGUACCAUACGAGGAAGCCCCGGCAAACUACGUGCCAGCAGCCGCGGUAAUACGUAGGGGGCAAGCGUUGUCCGGAAUUACUGGGCGUAAAGGGCGCGUAGGCGGGAUCUUAAGUCAGGUGUGAAAGACCGCAGCUUAACUGCGGGGUUGCACAUGAAACUGAGAUUCUUGAGGGCAGGAGAGGAAAGCAGAAUUCCUGGUGUAGCGGUGAAAUGCGUAAAAAUCAGGAGGAAUACCGGUGGCGAAGGCGGCUUUCUGGACUGACCCUGACGCUGAGGUGCGAAAGCGUGGGUAGCAAACAGGAUUAGAUACCCUGGUAGUCCACGCCGUAAACAAUGGAUACUA